RNAcentral lists this ribosomal RNA (236 nucleotides) under uncultured bacterium. RNAcentral describes it as "partial 16S ribosomal RNA". It matches the Rfam family "Bacterial small subunit ribosomal RNA", at positions 118 to 351 of the family's 1533-position model. The record is from RNAcentral.
UGAGUAACCUGCCCUUAACUCUGGGAUAAGCCUGGGAAACUGGGUCUAAUACCGGAUAUGACUCCUCAUCGCAUGGGUGGGGGGUGGAAAGCUUUAUUGUUGGUUUUGGAUGGACUCGCGGCCUAUCAGCUUGUUGGUGAGGUAAUGGCUCACCAUGGCGACGACGGGUAGCCGGCCUGAGAGGGCGACCGGCCACACUGGGACUGAGAUACGGCCCAGACUCCUACGGGAGGCAG